GAUGAACGCUGGCGGCGUGCCUAAUACAUGCAAGUCGAGCGAACGUACGAGAAGCUUUCUUCUCUGAUGUUAUCGCCGGACGGGUGAGUAACACGUGGAUAACCUACCUAUAAGACUGGGAUAACUUCGGGAAACCGUAGCUAAUACCGGAUAAUAUUUUGAACCGCAUGGUUCACAAGUGAAAGACGGUCUUGCUGUCACUUAUAGAUGGAUCCGCGCUGCAUUAGCUAGUUGGUAAGGUAACGGCUUACCAAGGCAACGAUGGAUAGCCGACCUGAGAGGGAGGAUCAGCAGACUGGAAGUGAGGAGCGGCACAGACUGCGAAAGGGAGAAACAGUAGGGAAUCUUACGGAAUGGGGCAAAGGCGGACGGAGCAAAACCGGGGAAAGAAUGAAGGAGCUAGGAUGGGUAAACGAUGAUGUUAGGGAAAAAGAAAAGUGUAAGUAACGGGGAACAUAAUGACGGUACCUAAACAAGAAGCCACGGCUAACUACGUG
RNAcentral lists this ribosomal RNA (497 nucleotides) under uncultured bacterium. RNAcentral describes it as "partial 16S ribosomal RNA". It matches the Rfam family "Bacterial small subunit ribosomal RNA", at positions 28 to 507 of the family's 1533-position model. The record is from RNAcentral.